GCGGGCGUGGCGGAAUUGGCAGACGCGCUAGACUUAGGAUCUAGUGCCGCAAGGCGUGGGAGUUCAAAUCUCUUCGCCCGCACCA
This 85-nucleotide transfer RNA is filed under the name Clostridiales bacterium. RNAcentral's name for it is "tRNA-Leu". It matches the Rfam family "tRNA". Rfam says of the family: Transfer RNA (tRNA) molecules are approximately 80 nucleotides in length. Their secondary structure includes four short double-helical elements and three loops (D, anti-codon, and T loops). The record is from RNAcentral. RNAcentral also lists the same sequence under 2 other names. Lineage: Bacteria; Bacillati; Bacillota; Clostridia; Eubacteriales.